UACGUAUGGUGCAAGCGUUAUCCGGAUUUACUGGGUGUAAAGGGAGCGUAGGCGGCGCGUUAAGUCUGAUGUGAAAACCCGAGGCUCAACCACGGGAGUGCAUUGGAAACUGGCGUGCUGGAGUGCCGGAGAGGUAAGCGGAAUUCCUAGUGUAGCGGUGAAAUGCGUAGAUAUCAGGAGGAACACCAGUGGCGAAGGCGGCCUACUGGACGGUGACUGACGCUGAGGCUCGAAAGCGUGGGGAGCAAACAGG
RNAcentral lists this ribosomal RNA (253 nucleotides) under uncultured bacterium. Its description in RNAcentral is "partial 16S ribosomal RNA". It matches the Rfam family "Bacterial small subunit ribosomal RNA", at positions 524 to 776 of the family's 1533-position model. The record is from RNAcentral.